GCGGGUGUAGUACAAUGGCAGUAUGGCUGCUUCCCAAGCAGCAGACGUGGGUUCGAUUCCCAUCACCCGCU
This 71-nucleotide transfer RNA is filed under the name Elusimicrobiota bacterium. RNAcentral describes it as "Elusimicrobia bacterium (groundwater metagenome) tRNA-Gly". It matches the Rfam family "tRNA". From Rfam's summary of the family: Transfer RNA (tRNA) molecules are approximately 80 nucleotides in length. Their secondary structure includes four short double-helical elements and three loops (D, anti-codon, and T loops). The record is from RNAcentral. Lineage: Bacteria; Pseudomonadati; Elusimicrobiota.